UAGGGAAUCUUCCACAAUGGACGCAAGUCUGAUGGAGCAACGCCGCGUGAGUGAAGAAGGGUUUCGGCUCGUAAAGCUCUGUUGUUAAAGAAGAACGUGGGUAAGAGUAACUGUUUACCCAGUGACGGUAUUUAACCAGAAAGCCACGGCUAACUACGUGCAN
Molecule: ribosomal RNA, 163 nt
Filed under: uncultured bacterium
Lineage: Bacteria
Description: partial 16S ribosomal RNA
Rfam family: Bacterial small subunit ribosomal RNA
Source: RNAcentral